UUCCGGUUGAUCCUGCCGGAGGCUACCGCUAUUGGAGUUCGAUUAAGCCAUGCGAGUCGUUGUAGCAAUACAAGGCAUACGGCUCAGUAACGCGUAGUCAACCUAACCUAUGGACGGGAAUAACCUCGGGAAACUGAGAAUAAUGCCCGAUAGAACAUUAUGCCUGGAAUGGUUUAUGUUCCAAAUGAUUUAUCGCCAUAGGAUGGGACUGCGGCCUAUCAGUUUGUUGGUGAGGUAAUGGCCCACCAAGACUAUUACAGGUACGGGCUCUGAGAGGAGUAGCCCGGAGAUGGGUACUGAGACACGGACCCAGGCCCUAUGGGGCGCAGCAGGCGAGAAAACUUUGCAAUGUGCGAAAGCACGACAAGGUUAAUCCGAGUGAUUUCUGCUAAAGAAAUCUUUUGCAAGUCAUAAAACCACUAGUGAAUAAGGGGUGGGCAAGUUCUGGUGUCAGCCGCCGCGGUAAAACCAGCACCUCAAGUGGUCAGGAGGAUUAUUGGGCCUAAAGCAUCCGUAGCCGGCUCUGUAAGUUUUCGGUUAAAUCCAUGUGCUCAACGCAUGGGCUGCCGAAAAUACUGCAUAGCUAGGGAGUGGGAGAGGUAGACGGUACUCGGUAGGAAGGGGUAAAAUCCUUUGAUCUAUCGAUGACCACCUGUGGCGAAGGCGGUCUACCAGAACACGUUCGACGGUGAGGGAUGAAAGCUGGGGGAGCAAACCGGAUUAGAUACCCGGGUAGUCCCAGCUGUAAACGAUGCAGACUCGAUGAUGCAUUGGCAUAUAGCCAGUGCAGUGUCGCAGGGAAGCCGUUAAGUCUGCCGCCUGGGAAGUACGUACGCAAGUAUGAAACUUAAAGGAAUUGGCGGGGGAGCACCACAAGGGGUGAAGCCUGCGGUUCAAUUGGAUUCAACGCCGGG
This 914-nucleotide ribosomal RNA is filed under the name uncultured marine archaeon. Its description in RNAcentral is "bacterial SSU rRNA". It matches the Rfam family "Archaeal small subunit ribosomal RNA", at positions 1 to 922 of the family's 1478-position model. The record is from RNAcentral.